RNAcentral lists this ribosomal RNA (253 nucleotides) under uncultured bacterium. RNAcentral describes it as "partial 16S ribosomal RNA". It matches the Rfam family "Bacterial small subunit ribosomal RNA", at positions 524 to 776 of the family's 1533-position model. The record is from RNAcentral.
UACGAAGGGGGCUAGCGUUGUUCGGAAUUACUGGGCGUAAAGCGCACGUAGGCGGCUUUGUAAGUUAGAGGUGAAAGCCCGGGGCUCAACUCCGGAACUGCCUUUAAGACUGCAUCGCUUGAAUCCAGGAGAGGUGAGUGGAAUUCCGAGUGUAGAGGUGAAAUUCGUAGAUAUUCGGGAGAACACCAGUGGCGAAGGCGGCUCACUGGACUGGUAUUGACGCUGAGGUGCGAAAGCGUGGGGAGCAAACAGG